AGUUAAAUUAAACUAAUAAUCUUCAAAAUUAUUUAUAAAGAAAUUCUUUAAGCCUUA
Molecule: transfer RNA, 57 nt
Filed under: Gonepteryx rhamni (common brimstone butterfly)
Lineage: Eukaryota; Metazoa; Arthropoda; Insecta; Lepidoptera; Pieridae
Description: tRNA-Trp
Source: RNAcentral